UACGUAGGGUGCAAGCGUUAAUCGGAAUUACUGGGCGUAAAGCGUGCGCAGGCGGUUCUGUAAGUCUGUCGUGAAAGCCCCGGGCUCAACCUGGGAAUUGCGAUGGAGACUGCAAGGCUUGAAUCUGGCAGAGGGGGGUAGAAUUCCACGUGUAGCAGUGAAAUGCGUAGAGAUGUGGAGGAACACCGAUGGCGAAGGCAGCCCCCUGGGUCAAGAUUGACGCUCAUGCACGAAAGCGUGGGGAGCAAACAGG
Molecule: ribosomal RNA, 253 nt
Filed under: uncultured bacterium
Lineage: Bacteria
Description: partial 16S ribosomal RNA
Rfam family: Bacterial small subunit ribosomal RNA
Source: RNAcentral